Molecule: long non-coding RNA, 467 nt
Organism: Haliotis rufescens (red abalone)
Lineage: Eukaryota; Metazoa; Mollusca; Gastropoda; Lepetellida; Haliotidae
Exons: 4
Source: RefSeq, a predicted model, not a curated record
UGCAGAAUAACUAUGGAUGCUGGAUCGGUUUGUAUAAACCUGUACACAGGAAAUGGAUCAACGAAAAAGCGGCUCUGAAAUACAAUGGCUACAUUUAUGGCACUGAUACAUUUCCAGACACUUGGUGUCUUACUAUAUACAAACGGAGCAACGGAAGCACGCGCUUAUUCUGGAUAGCAUGUGACUCAGACCAAAGAUGGAUAUGCGGAAAUGUUAAAGAAAGUACAACUUCAACAAAAGUUACGCCAACGUCAUCAUCAAGUUACCCAUCAUCAGCAUCCACUCUGUCCGAAGAUGUUUCCACUGUGCCGGGUAACCACUCUAGCAACAGGUCAUCGCCAGCAGGUACUUCUGAUGCAAAGAAAACUCCGUACGAUCCUCAGACUGAUGCAGGUGGCUUCAUAGGACUUGGUGUUGGAAGCGUGGUCCUUGUUGUUCUUGCAGUCCUUAUUGUAGUCUUCCUGCUG